RNAcentral lists this ribosomal RNA (238 nucleotides) under Pandoraea sp. SD6-2. RNAcentral's name for it is "partial 23S ribosomal RNA". It matches the Rfam family "Bacterial large subunit ribosomal RNA", at positions 2698 to 2925 of the family's 2925-position model. Lineage: Bacteria; Pseudomonadati; Pseudomonadota; Betaproteobacteria; Burkholderiales; Burkholderiaceae. The record is from RNAcentral.
UGGACGAACCUCUGGUGUACCGGUUGUCACGCCAGUGGCAUCGCCGGGUAGCUAUGUUCGGAAGAGAUAACCGCUGAAAGCAUCUAAGCGGGAAACUCGCCUUAAGAUGAGACUUCCCUGGGAACUCGAUUCCCCUUAAGGGUCGUUCAAGACCAGGACGUUGAUAGGUCAGGUGUGGAAGCGCAGUAAUGCGUUAAGCUAACUGAUACUAAUUGCCCGUGAGGCUUGAUCCUAUAAC